AGGCGCAAUUGUAAUAGACCAUUUGGAAAUUUGCAAUAGUACUGAGAUCGUAAAUUCCAAUGAAAGUGGCGAAUUUUUUGCUCUGGUGGCUGAAUUUAAGCCAGCGAUCAAUAUAUACCUAAAACAGUUGGUGAAAUCCCCAGUACAUUCCUUAAGGGACCUGAUUGCCUUCAAUGAGAAAUUCUCCAACUUGGUAAGUAAGGAUGCAAAUACGCAGAAUACUUCAAUAAAUAUGACAAGUACGACAAUGUGGGUUGAUUUUGCUGCAAUGGUUGUGCAGGAAAAGACAAAAGAAUAUCACCAAAACAUCUUCGAAGUAGCCAACUCUUUGACGGAUGCUGAUGCUGAAAAAAUACUGAAGUUAGCAUUACCUAAUUUAAAAGAACUUUCAAGAAAUAGGCUGGAGAAAUUAGUGAGGAAGCAUAAACUAGACGCAUUGGUGAGUCCAUUUUAUUCGGUAAGCACAAGUUUCUCAGCUCUACUUGCCAUU
This 490-nucleotide long non-coding RNA is filed under the name Ricinus communis (castor bean). RNAcentral's name for it is "long non-coding RNA (RCOM_LNC002309)". The record is from RNAcentral. Lineage: Eukaryota; Viridiplantae; Streptophyta; Magnoliopsida; Malpighiales; Euphorbiaceae.